Molecule: ribosomal RNA, 470 nt
Filed under: uncultured beta proteobacterium
Lineage: Bacteria; Pseudomonadati; Pseudomonadota; Betaproteobacteria
Description: bacterial SSU rRNA
Rfam family: Bacterial small subunit ribosomal RNA
Source: RNAcentral
GGAGGAAAGCAGGGGAUCGCAAGACCUUGCGCUCAUUGAGCGGCCGAUGCCUGAUUAGCUAGUUGGUGAGGUAAAGGCUUACCAAGGCGACGAUCAGUAGCUGGUCUGAGAGGACGACCAGCCAUACUGGGACUGAGACACGGCCCAGACUCCUACGGGAGGCAGCAGUGGGGAAUUUUGGACAAUGGGGGAAACCCUGAUCCAGCCAUGCCGCGUGAGUGAAGAAGGCCUUCGGGUUGUAAAGCUCUUUCAGCCGGAACGAAACGGUCACGGCUAAUACCUGUGACUACUGACGGUACCGGAAGAAGAAGCACCGGCUAACUACGUGCCAGCAGCCGCGGUAAUACGUAGGGUGCGAGCGUUAAUCGGAAUUACUGGGCGUAAAGCGUGCGCAGGCGGUUUUGUAAGUCAGAAGAGAAAUCCCCGGGCUUAACCUGGGAACUGCGUUGAAUAAACGAGGCUAGAAGGGC